Molecule: long non-coding RNA, 489 nt
Organism: Chinchilla lanigera (long-tailed chinchilla)
Lineage: Eukaryota; Metazoa; Chordata; Mammalia; Rodentia; Chinchillidae
Exons: 2
Source: RefSeq, a predicted model, not a curated record
CUCGCCGCUUCCCGCAAGUUUGUCCGUCACUGCCGCCGGCGAGCGUUCCCGGAACCCAGUCGCGGGAACCCCCAUCCUGGCCCCUUUGAGAAGCCCCAAGGAUUCCAGCCAUGGGGAACGGAUCACACCCUGUAGUCAUUUUGCAGCCUAAAAUCCGACAAGGAACAGAAGAUGAGAAAUAAAGGAUUGAGGAGUUUCUACAUCAUCAACACUUCACCUGAGGCUGGAAGGGACCGCGUAACUAUGCCCACCCACCACCCCAACAGGAUCUUCGGGCUGCUCUUUCCUUUUACAGAAAAUGGAGCUCAGUGAGGUGACCUAACCCUACCUGCAGGGCUUGCCUGAAGACACUGUUUCUAAGGGACCAAGUUAAUUCCCAAGCCCAGAUCUCUGCAAUCCCAAUUCAGUCCCUGUCACAGUGCUUUAUUUCCCAGACACAAAAAGGAAGCCAAAGUCAUAAUAAAGUCACUGAGUUUUAUUCUUCACAUA